CAACAGUUCUGUGACGGAGAUCAUGC
Molecule: non-coding RNA, 26 nt
Filed under: Mus musculus (house mouse)
Lineage: Eukaryota; Metazoa; Chordata; Mammalia; Rodentia; Muridae
Source: RNAcentral